ACUAUUUUGGCAGAAAAGUGUAAUAAUUUUAGGAGUUAUGAAUGUAGUAAAUCUACAAGUAGUA
Molecule: transfer RNA, 64 nt
Filed under: Libiocoris heissi
Lineage: Eukaryota; Metazoa; Arthropoda; Insecta; Hemiptera; Aradidae
Description: tRNA-Leu
Source: RNAcentral